This 591-nucleotide ribosomal RNA is filed under the name Bacillus sp. ApA24. RNAcentral describes it as "bacterial SSU rRNA". It matches the Rfam family "Bacterial small subunit ribosomal RNA", at positions 335 to 916 of the family's 1533-position model. The record is from RNAcentral. RNAcentral also lists the same sequence under 1 other name. Lineage: Bacteria; Bacillati; Bacillota; Bacilli; Caryophanales; Bacillaceae.
ACUCCUACGGGAGGCAGCAGUAGGGAAUCUUCCGCAAUGGACGAAAGUCUGACGGAGCAACGCCGCGUGAGUGAUGAAGGUUUUCGGAUCGUAAAGCUCUGUUGUUAGGGAAGAACAAGUGCCGUUCAAAUAGGGCGGCACCUUGACGGUACCUAACCAGAAAGCCACGGCUAACUACGUGCCAGCAGCCGCGGUAAUACGUAGGUGGCAAGCGUUGUCCGGAAUUAUUGGGCGUAAAGGGCUCGCAGGCGGUUUCUUAAGUCUGAUGUGAAAGCCCCCGGCUCAACCGGGGAGGGUCAUUGGAAACUGGGGAACUUGAGUGCAGAAGAGGAGAGUGGAAUUCCACGUGUAGCGGUGAAAUGCGUAGAGAUGUGGAGGAACACCAGUGGCGAAGGCGACUCUCUGGUCUGUAACUGACGCUGAGGAGCGAAAGCGUGGGGAGCGAACAGGAUUAGAUACCCUGGUAGUCCACGCCGUAAACGAUGAGUGCUAAGUGUUAGGGGGUUUCCGCCCCUUAGUGCUGCAGCUAACGCAUUAAGCACUCCGCCUGGGGAGUACGGUCGCAAGACUGAAACUCAAAGGAAUUGACGG